RNAcentral lists this ribosomal RNA (441 nucleotides) under Ceratophysella liguladorsi. RNAcentral's name for it is "partial 16S ribosomal RNA". The stretch from base 291 to 441 matches the Rfam family "Bacterial large subunit ribosomal RNA", at positions 2473 to 2624 of the family's 2925-position model. Lineage: Eukaryota; Metazoa; Arthropoda; Collembola; Poduromorpha; Hypogastruridae. The record is from RNAcentral.
AUAAUCAUUAGCCUCUUAAUUAGGGGAUAGUAUGAAUGGUUGAACUUUAAUAAGUUUUAUUAAUUUUAUUGUUUGAAUUUUGACUAUAAGUGAAAAUACUUGUAUUAGCCUAUUAGACGAUAAGACCCUAUAGAUCUUUAAUAAUUGAUUUUAUAAGUAGUUUGGGGGAAUUAUUUAUAAAAUUAAUUAUUUUAACUGGGGCAGUUAAAGAAUAUAAUAAACUUCUUUUAAUUUAAUUUUAAAAAUAUUAUAUUAACUUAGGUUUUAAAUGAGGAAUAAGUUACCUUAGGGAUAACAGCGUAAUUAAUUUAGAGAGUUCUUAUCGAUAAAUUAGAUUGCGACCUCGAUGUUGAAUUAAGAUUUCUAAUUAGGGCAGUUUUUAAUUAAGAUGGUUUGUUCAACCAUUAAAUUCUUACAUGAUUUGAGUUCAAACCGGCGUGA